RNAcentral lists this ribosomal RNA (463 nucleotides) under uncultured bacterium. RNAcentral describes it as "partial 16S ribosomal RNA". It matches the Rfam family "Bacterial small subunit ribosomal RNA", at positions 28 to 507 of the family's 1533-position model. The record is from RNAcentral.
GACGAACGCUGGCGGCGUGCUUAACACAUGCAAGUCGAACGGUGAACCUCUUCGGAGGGGAUCAGUGGCGAACGGGUGAGUAACACGUGGGCAACCUGCCCCCGGCUCUGGGAUAACUCCAAGAAAUUGGGGCUAAUACCGGAUGUUCACCGCUUCCCGCAUGGGUGGUGGUGGAAAGGGUUUCCGGCUGGGGAUGGGCCCGCGGCCUAUCAGCUUGUUGGUGGGGUAGUGGCCUACCAAGGCGACGACGGGUAGCCGGCCUGAGAGGGUGACCGGCCACACUGGGACUGAGACACGGCCCAGACUCCUACGGGAGGCAGCAGUGGGGAAUAUUGCGCAAUGGGCGGAAGCCUGACGCAGCGACGCCGCGUGGGGGAUGACGGCCUUCGGGUUGUAAACCUCUUUCAGCAGGGACGAAGCGCAAGUGACGGUACCUGCAGAAGAAGCACCGGCCAAUUACGUG